RNAcentral lists this ribosomal RNA (253 nucleotides) under uncultured bacterium. RNAcentral describes it as "partial 16S ribosomal RNA". It matches the Rfam family "Bacterial small subunit ribosomal RNA", at positions 524 to 776 of the family's 1533-position model. The record is from RNAcentral.
UACGUAGGGUGCGAGCGUUAAUCGGAAUUACUGGGCGUAAAGCGUGCGCAGGCGGUUCGUUAAGACAGGUGUGAAAUCCCCGGGCUCAACCUGGGAAUGGCGCUUGUGACUGGCGGGCUGGAGUACGGCAGAGGGAGGUGGAAUUCCACGUGUAGCAGUGAAAUGCGUAGAGAUGUGGGGGAACACCGAUGGCGAAGGCAGCCUCCUGGGCCAGUACUGACGCUCAUGCACGAAAGCGUGGGGAGCAAACAGG